UUCCGGUUGAUCCUGCCGGAGAUCACCGUUAUCAGAAUUCGAUUUAGCCAUGCGAGGCGCGAGCUAUUUGGGCUCGCCGAACUGCUCAGUAACACGUAGCUAACCUAACCUCAAGUGGAGGAUAAACUUGCGAAAGUGAGGCUAAUACUCCAUAGCUGUUGAAUGCUGGAAUGCGUCAACAACCAAAGCCACGGCGCUUGAGGAUGGGGCUGCGACCUAUCAUGGCUGUUGUGAGUGUAAAGUACUCACAAACCUGUAACGGGUAGGGGUCAUGAGAGUGGGAGCCUCGAGAUGCCUUCUGAGACAUGAAGGCAGGUCCUACGAGACGCAGCAGGCGCGAAAACUUUCCAAUGGUUUAACGACUGAGAAGGGAAUCCUGAGUGGUUGUACUAUGUACAAUCUUUUAUUUUGCCUAAAAAGCAAGAUGAAUAAGUGGUGGGUAAGACGGGUGGCAGCCGCCGCGGUAAUACCCGCGCCACUAAUGGUGAUCGCGAUUAUUGGGUCUAAAGGGUCCGUAGCCGGUCCAACAAGUUCUUGGUGAAAUCUACUAGCAAACUAGUAGGCUUGCUGAGAAUACUGCUGGUCUUGGGAUCGGGAUAGGAUAGGGGUAUUCUUUGGGUAGGGGUUAAAUCCUUUAAUCCAUGGAAGACCUCCGGUGGCGAAGGCGCCUAUCUGGAACGAGUCCGACGGUGAGGGACGAAAGCGUGGGGAGCAAACGGGAUUAGAUACGGACUUUCUAAUCCAAUGAUGCCAAAGAUGAUUGGAAUGUUUGCUAGAAACCCCGAUAGUCCACGCUGUAAACGAUGCCCGCUUGAUGUUGCAAACUUUACGAGAGCUUGCAGUGUCGGAGCGUAGGUGUUAAGCGGGCCACCUGGGGAGUACGGUCGCAAGAUUGAAACUUAAGGGAAUUGGCGGGAGAGCACACAAGGGGUGUAGGCUGCGGUUUAAUUGGAUUAAACGCCGGACAUCUUACGAGUGUUGACAGCAGAAUGAAGGUCCUCCUAAUGGGCGUACCAGACAAGCUGAGAGGUGUUGCAUGGCCAUCGUCAGCUCGUACCUUGAGGCGUGCGGUCAAGUCCGUUAACGAGCGAGACCCAUGCUGUCAUUUGCCAUCACAUUUUCAGAUAAUAUCAAAAAAGUGUGAGCACUAUGACAGGACCGCUAGCGAUAAGCUAGAGGAAGGAGUGGGCGACGGUAGGUCCGUAUGGCCCGGAUACACUCGGCUACACGCGGCCCUCAAUGGUUGAGACAAUGCGUUGCAACUCCGAAAGGAGAAGCUGAUCGCCUAAACUCAACCUCAGUUCGAAUUGAGGUCUGAAACUCGGCCUCAUGAAGCUGGAAUCCCUAGUAAGCAAACGUCAUAACCGUUCGCUGAAUACGUCCCUGCUCUUUGCACACACCGCCCGUC
RNAcentral lists this ribosomal RNA (1408 nucleotides) under uncultured archaeon. RNAcentral's name for it is "16S ribosomal RNA". It matches the Rfam family "Archaeal small subunit ribosomal RNA". The record is from RNAcentral.